Molecule: ribosomal RNA, 254 nt
Filed under: uncultured bacterium
Lineage: Bacteria
Description: partial 16S ribosomal RNA
Rfam family: Bacterial small subunit ribosomal RNA
Source: RNAcentral
UACGUAGGGGGCAAGCGUUGUCCGGAUUUAUUGGGCGUAAAGAGCGUGUAGGCGGCCUGACAGGUCUGCUGUGAAAACUCGAGGCUCAACCUCGAGAUGUCGGCGGAAACCGUCUGGCUAGAGUCCGGAAGAGGAGAGUGGAAUUCCGUGGUGUAGCGGUGAAAUGCGCAGAUAUCAGGAAGAACACCUAUGGCGAAGGCAGCUCUCUGGGACGGUACUGACGCUGAGACGCGAAAGCGUGGGGAGCGAACAGG